RNAcentral lists this ribosomal RNA (609 nucleotides) under uncultured organism. RNAcentral's name for it is "bacterial SSU rRNA". It matches the Rfam family "Bacterial small subunit ribosomal RNA", at positions 805 to 1413 of the family's 1533-position model. The record is from RNAcentral.
AACGAUGGAUACUAGGCGUGGUUCGUAUCGACCCAAGCCGUGCCGAAGCUAACGCGUUAAGUAUCCCGCCUGGGGAGUACGCACGCAAGUGUGAAACUCAAAGGAAUUGACGGGGGCCCGCACAAGCGGUGGAGGAUGUGGUUUAAUUCGAUGCAACGCGAAGAACCUUACCAGGGUUUGACAUCCCGCGAAUCUUGCUGAAAGGCGAGAGUGCCUUCGGGAGCGCGGAGACAGGUGGUGCAUGGCUGUCGUCAGCUCGUGUCGUGAGAUGUUGGGUUAAGUCCCGCAACGAGCGCAACCCUCGUCCUUAGUUGCCAGCAUUAAGUUGGGCACUCUAGGGAGACUGCCGGUGACAAACCGGAGGAAGGUGAGGAUGACGUCAAGUCAGCAUGCCCCUUAUGCUCUGGGCAACACACGUCCUACAAUGGUCGGGACAAAGGGGAGCAAGCUCGCGAGAGUAAGCGAAUCCCAGCAAACUCGGCCUCAGUUCAGAUUGCAGGCUGCAACUCGCCUGCAUGAAGGAGGAAUCGCUAGUAAUCGCAGGUCAGCAUACUGCGGUGAAUUCGUUCCCGGGCCUUGUAUACACCGCCCGUCACACCAUGGAAGCUG